This 632-nucleotide long non-coding RNA is filed under the name Gossypium raimondii (Peruvian cotton). RNAcentral describes it as "long non-coding RNA (GRAI_LNC008644)". Lineage: Eukaryota; Viridiplantae; Streptophyta; Magnoliopsida; Malvales; Malvaceae. The record is from RNAcentral.
CAUGAUAGCAUUCCGUGCAACAGCAUCCGAUGGGGGGAUAAGCCAUUGGUGGUGGAGGACAAGGUUCUGGAACCUUUGGUGCUGCUGCUGGCGGUUUCGGUGGUGGUUCUUUUCGUUUCUCAGGUUCCUUAGGCUUUUCGGGUUGUUUAGGUUUCUCGGGUUCUUUGGGUUUUUCGGGUUCUUUCGGCUUUUCGGGUUGUUUAGGUUUCUCGGGUUCUUUGGGUUUUUCGGGUUCUUUUGGUUUUUCGGGUGCUUUAGGCUUUUCGGGUUCUUUUGGUUUUUCUGGUACUUUAGGCUUCUCUGGUUCUUUGGGUUUUUCAGGUUCUUUGGGCUUUUCGGGUUCUUUAGGCUUCUCAGGCUCCUUGGGUUUGGGAGGAGGAGGUGGAGGUUUGAUCUCAAUGCUCUUGAUUGAUCCAGCACCCUUGCAACAUAUCUUGUCCCUCAGCUUCUCAGGAUUGCAGCAUACCACAGUAAUGGUCACGGUGUUGGCUUUCUCAUUGUAUAUCUGGUCUCGUAUUUCUCUUGUUCGCAAAAACCCAUCAUCAAAAAAUUAUCAACUUAAACCAUAUAAAAAACUACUUUGCAAUUAUUAAAAUGCUAAACACAAAAAGGACAAGCAUAAAAAUCAGGAA